GGGCCCGCACAAGCGGUGGAGUAUGUGGUUUAAUUCGAUGCAACGCGAAGAACCUUACCAGGGUUUGACAUCCUGCGAACCUCUUAGAAAUUUGAGGGUGCCUUCGGGAAUUGUGAUACAGGUGCUGCAUGGCUGUCGUCAGCUCGUGUCGUGAGAUGUUGGGUUAAGUCCCGCAACGAGCGCAACCCUUGUCCUUAGUUACCAGCGGGUUAAGCCGGGAACUCUAAGGAUACUGCCAGUGACAAACUGGAGGAAGGCGGGGACGACGUCAAGUCAUCAUGGCCCUUACGACCAGGGCUACACACGUGCUACAAUGGUAGGUACAGAGGGCUGCAAGUUCGCGAGGACAAGCAAAUCCCAUAAACCGUGGCUCAGUUCAGAUCGUAGGCUGCAACUCGCCUACGUGAAGGCGGAAUCGCUAGUAAUCG
This 428-nucleotide ribosomal RNA is filed under the name uncultured bacterium. RNAcentral describes it as "bacterial SSU rRNA". It matches the Rfam family "Bacterial small subunit ribosomal RNA", at positions 917 to 1344 of the family's 1533-position model. The record is from RNAcentral.